Molecule: ribosomal RNA, 896 nt
Filed under: Ophiostoma montium
Lineage: Eukaryota; Fungi; Ascomycota; Sordariomycetes; Ophiostomatales; Ophiostomataceae
Description: partial large subunit ribosomal RNA
Rfam family: Eukaryotic large subunit ribosomal RNA
Source: RNAcentral
GCAUAUCAAUAAGCGGAGGAAAAGAAACCAACAGGGAUUGCCCCAGUAACGGCGAGUGAAGCGGCAACAGCUCAAAUUUGAAAUCUGGCCUUCGGGUCCGAGUUGUAAUUUGGAGAGGAUGCUUCUGGCGCGGCGCCGUCCGAGUUCCUUGGAACAGGACGCCAUAGAGGGUGAGAGCCCCGUACGGGCGGACGCCUAGCCUUUGUGAAGCUCCUUCGACGAGUCGAGUAGUUUGGGAAUGCUGCUCAAAAUGGGAGGUAAAUUUCUUCUAAAGCUAAAUACCGGCCAGAGACCGAUAGCGCACAAGUAGAGUGAUCGAAAGAUGAAAAGCACUUUGAAAAGAGGGUUAAAAAGUACGUGAAAUUGUUGAAAGGGAAGCGCCUGUGACCAGACUUGCUGCCCACGGAUCAUCCGGCGUUCCUCGCCGGUGCACUCCGCGGGCGGCAGGCCAGCAUCGGUUCUCCUAGGGGGUUAAAGGUCGCGGGAACGUGGCUCCUUCGGGAGUGUUAUAGCCCGCGGCGUCAUGCCUCUGGGGGGACCGAGGACCGCGCUUCGGCAAGGAUGCUGGCGUAAUGGUCACCGGCGACCCGUCUUGAAACACGGACCAAGGAGUCAAGCAUUGGGGCGAGUGUCUGGGUGCCAAACCCGCACGCGAAAUGAAAGUAAACGCAGGUGAGAGCUUCGGCGCAUCACCGACCGAUCCUGAUGUCUUCGGAUGGAUUUGAGUAAGAGCCUUACCGCUUGGACCCGAAAGAUGGUGAACUAUGCCUGUAUAGGGUGAAGCCAGAGGAAACUCUGGUGGAGGCUCGCAGCGGUUCUGACGUGCAAAUCGAUCGUCAAAUAUGGGCAUGGGGGCGAAAGACUAAUCGAACCAUCUAGUAGCUGGUUACCGCCGA